This 366-nucleotide transfer-messenger RNA is filed under the name Lawsonibacter asaccharolyticus. RNAcentral's name for it is "Standard tmRNA". It matches the Rfam family "transfer-messenger RNA". From Rfam's summary of the family: Bacterial tmRNA, also known as 10Sa RNA or SsrA, is named for its dual tRNA and mRNA-like properties. Its role is to liberate the mRNA from a stalled ribosome. To accomplish this part of the tmRNA is used as a reading frame that ends in a translation stop signal. RNAcentral also lists the same sequence under 3 other names. Lineage: Bacteria; Bacillati; Bacillota; Clostridia; Eubacteriales; Oscillospiraceae. The record is from RNAcentral.
GGGGGCGUACCGGUUUCGACGGGGACGCGGAAGCAGGAAUAGCGGGCGGUGGCGCCUGACCACCUGAAAACGGGCAACUUAUAAAUUAAAGAACGAUAACGAUACCGUUCUCGCCGCUGCUUAAAUAGCGGCCGUCUGACCCGGGAGGACCACGGCCCGGGAACAGGCGUCGUUUCGUGGUGCACGUGCGCCGGCAAAGCUUUGAACCGGCCAUGAACGAUGAAGCUCACCUGACCCGUCGGCGUGACGGCUUGCCGGCAGGAAAGGGAACUGGGAGAGCAAGACUCCCAAAAUAACCGUCUGCGCCCGGAGAAGUUCCUGGGGAAGCGUUUUCGGACGGGAGUUCGACUCUCCCCGCCUCCACCA